CUCGGAGUCCUCCUCCUAGUCCUCCGCGCCUACCACUCAUGCGCAUGCUCGAGUUGAUCCUAGCACGCACGUGCUGUUGAGAAGCAACGAGGAGAGGACGACGAGUGUUGCCUGCCUGUUGCUGCUGCUCCGAGUCCCGCUGUGGAAAGGAAGAGGAUCUGCUUUGGUGGCCAGCACAACAACAUCACCACCACCACCACCAUCAAUAAAGUUUUCACAGGAGGAUCAGCACCUCUGCUGAUUGGAAGAAUUCUGGCCACAACCAACCACAAACCACUGCUUAGUAACAAGCCUUCUAAUAUUUGAACAUCAUGAUGCCACGGAAGAAGGCGAGUGGAGCUGAAGGAUGGAAGAGGCGGAAGUUGGAGGCGGAAGAAGCCAAGAGGUCGAGCAGGUUCUUCAUGCCCUUCUUUACAAGGGCCGGAACAAGUAGCUCCACACCACCUUCCACAGAGUUGCCAGCACCUGCUCCAGUGUUUUCAGAAUCCGAAGGUGGAUCAAGUGCACAUCCGCCACAAGUGGAGGAGGAAGUCCAGUCAGAUGAAGAGGCUGCCACAGAGAGUGUGGACGUGACAGGAGGGGAAGCUGGUGGUGAUGUCGAGUCUACUGAUGAUGAGACUGAACCCGAGGAGGAGGAGGAGGACACUACGCACAGUGAACCAGAUGCUGCCCAAGAGCCUCCAACUGUUAGGCCGGAAGUGAUUGAUCGGCAUGACAUCGGACUUCUGCAGUUUGACAAGGAUACUGGAAGACCGAUUCUGCCUGACACGCUGAGAACAGAAAUAAUAAAGCUGGGUUCAAAGUAUUUCCAGAACACUGAGGGGCCUUUCCUACCAACAAAUAACCGUGCAAUGACUAGACUUGGUUCAGGAAGAGAUUGGGAAGUGGCCGUGGUGAGGAGGUGGCUCGCACAUGGCUGGUCUAUUCCCCUUCUAAGAAGUCUGCAUUUUGCUUCUGCUGUCUUCUCUUUUCCCGGUCAGACCAUCAGUCAACAUUGAAGCAGGAAAGUGGAUUCAACCACUGGAAAGCACCUGAAAGGAUUUGUGUUCAUGAGAAUGCCAAGAAUAAUCGGGAGUGCUUCACACAGUGGAAAGAAAUGGAAAGAAAUGUAGCUGGAAACAGAGGACUCAUUGAUGUGGAACUUCGGUCACAGAUUGAGACGGAGAAGCAGAGGUGGCGCGAAAUCUUGACAAGAAUCCUUAACUGCCUCAAAUACCUUGCAACUCAGAACCUGGCUUUGCGAGGACAUAGGGAGUCACUUCAGCUAGACAAGGAUGACUCCAAUGUAGGAAAUUUCCUUGGCUUAGUAAAACUAAUGGCUACUUGUGACCCAGUCAUGAAAGAACACCUGACCCAUGUGGAAUGUCAUCCUGGAUCCACCUCUUAUCUCUCACCGGCAGUCCAGAAUGAAUUCAUCCACGUGAUAGCAUCCACUGUUUGCAAGAGUCUACUGAGAGGCAUUCGUAAAGCAAAAUACUAUGGCCUCAUGUUCGACUCGACUCCUAACCUGGCACACCGUGAGCA
Molecule: long non-coding RNA, 1524 nt
Organism: Hemicordylus capensis (graceful crag lizard)
Lineage: Eukaryota; Metazoa; Chordata; Lepidosauria; Squamata; Cordylidae
Exons: 3
Source: RefSeq, a predicted model, not a curated record